RNAcentral lists this small RNA (126 nucleotides) under Marmota monax (woodchuck). Lineage: Eukaryota; Metazoa; Chordata; Mammalia; Rodentia; Sciuridae. The record is from RNAcentral.
GCUGGGUGCGGUGGCGCACGCCUGUAAUCCAGCAGCUCAGGAGGCUGAGGCAAGAGGAUCACAAGUUCAAAGCCAGCCUCAGCAAUUUGGUGAGGCCCUGAGCAACUUAGCAAGACCCUGCCUCAA